CCUACGGGUGGCUGCAGUGGGGAAUAUUGGACAAUGGGGGGAACCCUGAUCCAGCCAUGCCGCGUGUGUGAAGAAGGCCCUCGGGUUGUAAAGCACUUUCAGUGAGGAAGAACGCCUGGUGGUUAAUACCCAUCAGGAAAGACAUCACUCACAGAAGAAGCACCGGCUAACUCCGUGCCAGCAGCCGCGGUAAUACGGAGGGUGCGAGCGUUAAUCGGAAUUACUGGGCGUAAAGCGCGCGUAGGUGGCUUGAUAAGCCGGUUGUGAAAGCCCCGGGCUCAACCUGGGAACGGCAUCCGGAACUGUCAAGCUAGAGUGCAGGAGAGGAAGGUAGAAUUCCCGGUGUAGCGGUGAAAUGCGUAGAGAUCGGGAGGAAUACCAGUGGCGAAGGCGGCCUUCUGGACUGACACUGACACUGAGGUGCGAAAGCGUGGGUAGCAAACAGGAUUAGAUACCCUCGUAGUC
Molecule: ribosomal RNA, 465 nt
Filed under: Vreelandella stevensii
Lineage: Bacteria; Pseudomonadati; Pseudomonadota; Gammaproteobacteria; Oceanospirillales; Halomonadaceae
Description: partial 16S ribosomal RNA
Rfam family: Bacterial small subunit ribosomal RNA
Source: RNAcentral